RNAcentral lists this long non-coding RNA (1307 nucleotides) under Numida meleagris (helmeted guineafowl). RNAcentral describes it as "lncRNA (ENSNMEG00000001984.1)". Lineage: Eukaryota; Metazoa; Chordata; Aves; Galliformes; Numididae. The record is from RNAcentral.
AGAGAUUGUGACUGGAAAUUGGGGGAGGUCGGACUGGAAGUGGGGGGGGCAGACUGUAAGUGGGGGUGAAGACCAGAAGUUGGUGGGGUUAGACCGGAAGUUGGUGGUUCUGAGAGGAAAUUGGAAGGGGUCGGGGUGGAAGUGGGAGGUUCCGACUGGAAAUGGAAAAUUUGGAGCCAAAGUUGGACCGGAACUUGAGAGUUCUGAUUGGAAAUUGGGGGGGUCAGACUGGAAGUGGGGGGGUUCUGACUGGAAAUUGGGGGGCGUUGGACAGGAAGUAGAGGGCUCAGACCGGAACUUGUGGUUUCUGCCUGGAAACCGAGGGUUCAAACUGAAAGUGGGGGGGUUGGACCGGAAGUGGGAGGGUUGGACCGGAAGUGGGGCGCCUGGAUUGGAAUCUGGCAGUUCCGGCUGGAAGUUGGAGGUUCAGGCUGGAAAUCAGGGGGUUCUGACCGGAAAUCGGGGGAUUCUGACUGGGAACUGGGAGCUUCUGACCGGAAGUGGGGGGUUCUGACUGGAAGUGGGGGGGCCCUGAUUGGAAACUGGGGGUUCAGACUGGAAACUGGGGGCGGGGGGGGGCUGGACCGGACGUGAAGGAGUGUUCCGACCGGAAGUUGGUGUUCUGAACCGGAAGUGAGGGCUGGACCGGAAGUUUGGGUUCUGAACAGGAAGUGAGGGCUGGACCGGAAGUGAAUGCGUAUUCUGACCGGAAGUGGGGUCUGAACCGGAAGUUGGUCCCCGCUGACCGGAAGGAGCCUCCAUCACCGCACAGCGCCAUGGAGAGCGGAGAGCAGAGCUGCCAGGCUGGGGCGCAGGAGCUGGCACGGACACAGGAGAGGAGCGAGGAGAUGAGACAGCACCUGGAACAGCUGGAGGAGCGGCAGGCGGAGCUGCAGGCGCUGUGGCAGCAGCAGCAGGGCGCCGCCAGCUGUGCCUGGGGCAGCAGCGCCACCUGGAGGGGGCGGGGGAGAGCAGGGCAAAAAUCAGGGAGCUGCGGCGGGGACACAGGGAGGACUUCGUGCAGCAGCUGGAGACGCUGAUGGACGAGCACAAGCGGCUGCAGCGCCAGCACUCCCCGGUGGCGCUGGUGGCCGCGCUGUCCCAGCUGCAGCUGACACGGGAUGAGCUGCUGAACCAGGGUGAGCACACAUGGCCCCAAAUGUCCCCAGACAGCCAUGCAAUGUCCCCAAAUGUCCCCAAAUAUUCAUAUAAUGUCUCCAAAUGUUCCCAGAUAUCCAUGCAAUGUCCCCAAAUGUCCCCAAAUGUCCCCAGAUAUCCAUGCAAUAUCCCCCCAAUGUCCCCAAAUA